AGAGCGAACGCUGGCGGCAGGCCUAACACAUGCAAGUCGAGCGCCCGUAGCAAUACGGGAGCGGCAGACGGGAUAGUAACACGUGGGAACGCGCCCUUCGGUUCGGAAUAACUCAGGGAAACUUGAGCUAAUACCGAAUACGCCCUUACGGGGAAAGAUUUAUUGCCGAAGGAACGGCCCGCGUCCGAUUAGCUAGUUGGUGAGGUAAUGGCUCACCAAGGCUACGAUCGGUAGCUGGUCUGAGAGGAUGACCAGCAUCACUGGGACUGAGACACGGCCCAGACUCCUACGGGAGGCAGCAGUGGGGAAUAUUGGACAAUGGGCGCAAGCCUGAUCCAGCCAUGCCGCGUGGAUGAUGAAGGCCUUAGGGUUGUAAAGUCCUUUUAACGGGAAGAUAAUGACGGUACCGUAGAAUAAGCCCCGGCUAACUUCGCGCCAGCAGCCGC
Molecule: ribosomal RNA, 446 nt
Filed under: uncultured bacterium
Lineage: Bacteria
Description: SSU rRNA
Rfam family: Bacterial small subunit ribosomal RNA
Source: RNAcentral